RNAcentral lists this ribosomal RNA (484 nucleotides) under uncultured bacterium. RNAcentral's name for it is "partial 16S ribosomal RNA". It matches the Rfam family "Bacterial small subunit ribosomal RNA", at positions 30 to 507 of the family's 1533-position model. The record is from RNAcentral.
AUUGAACGCUGGCGGCAGGCCUAACACAUGCAAGUCGAGCGGAUGAAGGGAGCUUGCUCCUGGAUUCAGCGGCGGACGGGUGAGUAAUGCCUAGGAAUCUGCCUGGUAGUGGGGGAUAACGUCCGGAAACGGGCGCUAAUACCGCAUACGUCCUGAGGGAGAAAGUGGGGGAUCUUCGGACCUCACGCUAUCAGAUGAGCCCAGGUCGGAUUAGCUAGUUGGUGGGGUAAAGGCCUACCAAGGCGACGAUCCGUAACUGGUCUGAGAGGAUGAUCAGUCACACUGGAACUGAGACACGGUCCAGACUCCUACGGGAGGCAGCAGUGGGGAAUAUUGGACAAUGGGCGAAAGCCUGAUCCAGCCACGCCGCGUGUGUGAAGAAGGUCUUCGGAUUGUAAAGCACUUUAAGUUGGGAGGAAGGGCAGUAAGUUAAUACCUUGCUGUUUUGACGUUACCAACAGAAUAAGCACCGGCUAACUUCGUG